GACGAACGCUGGCGGCGUGCUUAACACAUGCAAGUCGAACGGUAAGGCCCUUCGGGGUACACGAGUGGCGAACGGGUGAGUAACACGUGGGUGGAUCUGCCCUGCACUUCGGGAUAAGCCUGGGAAACUGGGUCUAAUACCGGAUAGGACCAUGGACUUCACGGUUUGUGGUGGAAAGCUUUUGCGGUGUGGGAUGGGCCCGCGGCCUAUCAGCUUGUUGGUGGGGUAAUGGCCUACCAAGGCGACGACGGGUAGCCGGCCUGAGAGGGUGUCCGGCCACACUGGGACUGAGAUACGGCCCAGACUCCUACGGGAGGCAGCAGUGGGGAAUAUUGCACAAUGGGCGCAAGCCUGAUGCAGCGACGCCGCGUGAGGGAUGACGGCCUUCGGGUUUGGUAAACCGUACCUUUCUUAACUAAGGUACGG
This 426-nucleotide ribosomal RNA is filed under the name uncultured bacterium. RNAcentral's name for it is "bacterial SSU rRNA". It matches the Rfam family "Bacterial small subunit ribosomal RNA", at positions 28 to 455 of the family's 1533-position model. The record is from RNAcentral.